RNAcentral lists this ribosomal RNA (253 nucleotides) under uncultured bacterium. RNAcentral's name for it is "partial 16S ribosomal RNA". It matches the Rfam family "Bacterial small subunit ribosomal RNA", at positions 524 to 776 of the family's 1533-position model. The record is from RNAcentral.
UACGAAGGGGGCUAGCGUUGCUCGGAAUCACUGGGCGUAAAGCGCACGUAGGCGGAUUUCUAAGUCAGGGGUGAAAUCCUGGAGCUCAACUCCAGAACUGCCUUUGAUACUGGCGACCUUGAGUCCGGGAGAGGUGAGUGGAACUGCGAGUGUAGAGGUGAAAUUCGUAGAUAUUCGCAAGAACACCAGUGGCGAAGGCGGCUCACUGGCCCGGUACUGACGCUGAGGUGCGAAAGCGUGGGGAGCAAACAGG